This 8018-nucleotide long non-coding RNA is filed under the name Homo sapiens (human). RNAcentral's name for it is "non-protein coding LINC00620:11". The record is from RNAcentral. Lineage: Eukaryota; Metazoa; Chordata; Mammalia; Primates; Hominidae.
GGCUGCGCAGGAGCGGACAGCGGAGAGGCGGUACUGACCGGUGCGAGGCGGUGCUGACCGGUGCGGGCCGGUGCGGGCCAGUGCAGGCCAGGCCCGGCCGGGGCGAGGCAGGUGGCCAGGUCCGAGGACCGCGUCGCACAGCAGCUUUCAGGACCUGGAGAGAAAUCGAGACCCUGAUUCCUAGCCCUGGAGGCCAUCCAGAGCAUCUCAUCCAGGGAGCCGAGAGGUCCUUCCACCACCCCGCUGGGGUCCAGCGCAGCUGGGCCAGGAGAAGGGUGGUACAUCACUCCUGCGAGUCGAAGGCGAGACAGUGUGUGAAUGGGGCCUGGACUGCCCAAUUCCCUCUACCAAAGCAACUAGAACCUUCUUCUGCAUUAGGUGAUGGGUACCUGCGUGAGCUGUCAUUUGAAGACAGGGUUCCAGAGCACAAACAAAUUGGAGCCCCUGGUCCUCUCAGCUGGCAUCUGUGGAUUUGGCCUGCCUGGCGGGCCAGGCCAAUCAGAGAAGAGAAUGCCCUAUUGGGCACAGUGAUUGGGGCUCUGGCAUGGUCACAUGACAUGAGACAAGCCAAUAAGCAUGGAUCCUGAGAUUCUGCUUGGCGUCUCCUGGGCUGUACUUCCUGCUUUGUGCUGGGAUUGGGGCCAUGCGGCUGUAAGUCCAGAGCUACUGCAGGCCUCUUGCCACUGUGGGGAACCCAGCCUAGGAUGAAGCACAGGAAUGGAAACAGCUGAAAGAAGCAAGACACAGGGUCCUGACCACAUCUGUUGGAGCCUGGAUCCAACCUUGCCUGGAUCUGCAACCACUACUGAGCUUUUCAUGUACUUGGUGCCAAUAUAUUCCAUGUCUCCAUUUUUAAAAGUAAAUUUGAGUUGGAUGUCCUUUUGCAACUAAAACAAUCCUGACCUAUAUAUUCUUUGGCAUUGUCCCUGUAGAGAAAACUGAGACCCACAGAGGGAAAGUGACUUGCCCAAAGUCAUCCAGUGAACUGGUAACAGACCCAGCCAGAAGUCUCCUGCCUGUAGCCAGCACUCACUUCCCACGGUUUCCCAUGCUUUAACCUGGACAGUAUGGCUUCUGGGAAGCAUAAGCCAGGAGGGGGCAAGGAGCCCCCUGCUUGGGCAGGGAAGGGUGAGCCAGUUCUUCCACCCCUGCAGCAGGGGUCCUGUCUCUGCCAUGGCGGCACCUGUGGGCAAGGAGGGAGCCAGCACAGUCAGAAAUGAGCUCAGUGGUGAAGGCGUCUUCCCACCACUGCAGAACCCAGAGCUCCAUAUCGGAGGUGUGUCAGUGCCCAGCUUAUGCUGAAAUUCAGCUAUUCAUGGAGCCGCAGAGUUCCAGGGGGUCCCUUGGCAUCUAUGAUGAAGAAGGGAAGUCACUUGCUUCAUGGCCAGGGAAGGGCUCCAGCAAGACAUGGGCUCCUGAAAGUGACAGUGUGUGAAGGCCCGGAGAGGCACAGGACCUGUCCCCUCGCCCUCCUUGGAUUGCAGCAAGGAAAGAGGUGUGUCUUCCGCAGAAAAAUGUGCAUGUUCUUUUAGAUGUGUGGCCUCCGAGCAAGGUAUUUAGCCUGCCUCUAUGUGCUCACCUGGAAAAUGGGGUGAUGAAGAAGAUGAUGAUGAUAAUGGGAACUCCCUCUUGGAGCUGCUGUGCAGAUGAAUUUUCCUUCUAACAGUCAGGCCCCUCUGCUGCAAGUCUGCUGGAGUUUUCUGGAGGUCCACUCCAGACCUUGUUUGCCUGGGUAUCACCAGCCGAGGCUGCAGAACAGCAAAGAUUGCUGCCUGUUCCUUCCUUUGGAAGCUUUGUCCCAGGGAGGCACCCACCAGAUGCCAGCUGGAGCUCUUCUGUAUAAGGAAAAGUGGGCAAGUUUUGAGUUCAACGUGAGGCCUCAAGGAUGUGUGCAACCCAUGGUACUUGAAUUUACUUAUUGACUGUUUUUUGGAAAUCCUUAUUUCCCAAAACUCGUGGAAGGAGCUGACUUCUGGCAGGAAACGUGGAACUGGCAGCGUGUCGUGCAAGCAUCUGCAAUCCCAGUCCUGAGCUGGACUUCUCAGAGAGGCUGGGCAUUAUUUAUGGAGAUGUCGGAGUGACAGGGGGAACUUCUGGCCAGGAACUGCCGGUGGUGUCACAUCCUUAACCUGGCUGACAUCGGAACACCCUGGGGGGAGCAUUUCUCCAGGAAAGGAUGGUGGGUCAGGAGCCCGCAUGGUGUCUUUUCAAAGCAAUAAUAAAGAUAUCAGAAGGGCAAUCUGUCAGGCACAGACACUACUGGGCCUUGCUGAAGCUGGGCAGAUGGUGCAGAGGAGAAGAACAGGGCUGGGAACCAGAUGUUUCAUUUCCUGAAAAUAGACAUGUCAGGUCUUCGGGGCUGUCAGAUGCCCCCUCAUUAGCCCAUCAGCCUAAAUGGAGCCAUUGAGCACUGACAUCUCACUCAGCUGUGGCACCUGGCAGAGGACCCAGGCCCAGAGCUGUCCAGCCUGGGGCCCUGGCCUGGGGUCUGAAAAGGCCGGUAAGGGGCAGCUACAGUGGACAGUCCUUUCCCCUCUACAGAUGAGGAAACUGAGGCCAAGAGAGGGGACGGUGCUUCAAAGAGUGGCAGCGAUUCAAUGGCAGAGAUGGAAUGGACCAGGUUUCAGCUCAGGGGUUCAUAGAAUUUCAGUGCUCAGAGUCUUUGGGAACCCAUACGAGAGGGCUUCUGGUUGGUUCAGAUGCUCCUGAGUUGUUCUGGAGCUGCCCUGCCCCUUCCUAUUUUUGCCAUAUCCUCGGGAGACUUGUCUUUGGGCUCAUCUUACUUCAAGCACACUCACGUUUUUCCACUUAAGCAAAUGGAAACUUGAUAAACUGCCUUCAACAACAACAACCCCAAACCCAGCAUCACACACCAUGCAUGCAAGGCAGUGUGUGAUGAACACACUGAACAAUGAACCCAGUGAUUUCUAAGGAGUGGUGACGAAUGCUGGCGAGCAUGUGUCUCAGGAUGCCAAGCCUGAGGUCCAUUCCCUUGGCUAAUAAAGGUGGUGGGCGGACAUUGGAGGGCACUAGAGACAGGCUGGCAGCAACCGAGACCUUCCCUAUGCAGCAGUCAGCGGGAGGAGGAGAUCAUGGACCUUCUCAUCAGGCAGGCUCACAUUACUUAGUGUUCUGGUCCCAUCUAAUGGCAUAUUUUGGGAAACUUGGGGAACCCAGGCCCAAAGAAGAGGGGGCAAGUUCUUAAAGACCCACAGCAGGAGGCUGGUUCUGAAAGACUCAUGGCUAGGGGGCUGGCUCCGCUUUCCAGAGACCACCAGGUGCUGGUGACCACACAGAGAGACACACAGACAGACACACAGAUACCAACACACACAGACACAGUCACGCACACACAGAGACACAUCCAUGGAAGCACACAGAUGCACACACAUGCACACACACACACACACAGGUGCAACCAGAUGCAGACACACAGAUGCACAUGGACACACACACAGACACAGACAGAGACACAUGCACACAGAUGCACACAGAUACACACACAGACACACAGGCACACAGACACACACACACACCACGUAACCGUGACCCUGGGGGAAGCGCCUGCCCUCUCUGGGACUCAGUUUUCUCAUCAGUACAAUAGGAACCAUAACUCUCCCUUUUCUAGGUUGGUCGUGAGCUGUCAUUGGGUCAUUCAACAAAUACUUGCUGGACAUUGGGUGUGAGGCAUGUAGUAGGUGCUCAACAUACAGAACCUCCUUCACCUCUCAAAAGAGGCUCUGACCUAUGAAGCACCAGGUAUCAGCGCCCACUCUGCAGCAGCACAUGGCCAAGGCUUUACCUGCCUGUGCUCAUUUGUCUGCCACUCCUUAUGCUGGGUGCCAUCUAACCAUCUAACCCAUGAGGAAACUGAGGCUCCCAUUCAUGAAGUCGUGUGCUCAGGCAUGAACAGGCGCUCUGGACAGUAAAUAAGCUGGAGGCUCCUGGCAGGCAGAGGUAGCUCUGAGACUAAGAUAUGGACCUUGGGACCCAGGAAAUAGAGGCCCAGGGAGAACAGCCUCGCCUAGGGCCACCCACCCUCUAUGUGAGCAUCCAAGCUGCCUGCUGGUAAUUCCAGAUUCAGGGAGCUGAAUUUCCAGCCCUGGGAGAAGAGCAAAGCCUGUCUCCGAGCCCCUUGGGGGAGAAGAUGUGUAAUUAUUUCUGCCGAUUGAAUACUCUGACAAAAAAAAAGAGGGAGGAGGGAACAAUUUGCCCCGCUUUGCAGGCCGCUGGUAUUUCUCUUGCAAUGAGCACUGCAGCCCGAGACGCUGUAAUUAGGCUUUGUAAUAACAGGCUCGGUCGCUCCCGCGCCCUGUCAGGGAGAAGAAUCCAUCUUACAGGUAAUUGUAGGGUUGGCGGUCUCUGAACGUCUCUUUCCGCUAGCCUGGGCCUUUCCUGGGGGUGGCUGGCAGGGCUUUCUGAGUGAACACUGCCUGGGCCGGGGUGCAGGGAGGGGUGGGGGUGGGGACAAGUCUGGAGAAGCCUCCCUAAGAGGUGGGAUGAGGAACUUCUCUGCCCCACUCCUGGUUAUCUUCUGGUCCAAGCCCCCAGCCCCUGCCUGGAUCGUUGCCACAGCCUCUCAAUUCACCCUCCUGUGCUCCCACCACCCUCCUAUGAUCCCUUUUCCUGAUGCAGCCAGAAUGCAUGCAGCUAAACUGGAAGUCACGGCACCUUCCUCCUCUGCUCCACACCCUCCAUGGCUCCCACCUUCCUCGGAGGCAGAGACAAAACCCUCCCUCAGGCUGCAGGCCCACAUCAUCUGGCCUGACCCUCUCUAUCUACUUCCCCUGGCUCACUCUGCCUCAGGCCCACGGCGUCCUAUUUCCUGAGCACGUGCCCUCUCAUCCUCACCUCAGGGCCUUUGCACGGGCUGCUCCCUCCUCCGGUGGUGCCUCUUCUCCAGAUGCUUGCUCCCUCACCUCCUUCAGGUCCUGGUUCGAUGCUCCUUUCUCAGGGGCAUUCACUCGGGCCUCCAGCACUUCCUAUUUCCCUGUUCUACUUCAUUUUUCUUCGUAGUUCUCACCCCUAACUCACCAUAUAUUUUACUCAUAACUUUCUUCCCCACAAGGCUGUCAGCUCCAUGAGGUCAGAGGUUUUUCUCUGGCUGGUUCACUGCGGUACCCCCAGUGGUGAAAACAGUGCCUGUCACGUAGUAGGUGCUUAAUAAAUGACACAACUCACUUCACUCGCAGCACAUGCUCCCCUUCUUCACUGAAAGUUCUGGUCACCACCGAGCCUCCAUGCAGAGGCACUCUCCUCCAGGAAGCCUGCCUGGAAUCUCCCAUGGGGAACACUUGCCUGCUCUCCCCUCAGCCAUUAUCUGUUCCUGAGCCUGUUGCUGUGGCCUCCUCUGGGGCAGAUCCAAGGCCGAGUGUCCUCUGUAUCUCUAGGAACCAGCAUACUCUCAAUGGAGAGUGUCCCACGGCCAGGCACUGUGCUGUGGGCCCACCUGAAUCCUCUCACUUCAUCUCAAAGUAACCCCAUGAGAGAGGCAUUAUUACCAUCAUCCCCAUUUUGCCAAAAACAGAGGCUCUUUUAGCCAGUGGGGUCCAGACUAUUUUGAUAGCACACGCUUAUCAGCAAAAAAAAAAUCCAACUUGAUAUAGAUCCCCAUGUUCUGCCAUCUAUUCAUUUAUAAAUUAUGUGCUAGUUUUUAUUUAUAUGUAUACAGUUUAUAUUUAUUUUAUCAAAUAAUAUAUUAAAACAUUGAAUAAACAUUUAUAUUUGUAAAAAUAGGUGCUAAUAGCUAUACAAACAAUUGCAUAAAACAUAAUAUUAAAGAGAUGGAUAAAGAGAAAGAUGUACUUAUGUAUUCUUCCUUUCCACCAUGGAUCAUGCCCAGCCUCUGGGCCUGCAUAUCCCAUUUUGGAGCUCAAUAUGCUGUGGAAAGGUGAAGCAAGGAGUGAGGGCAGGAGUGAAUGCGCGUGAACCAUGGUGUUUAGGAGCAGAGGCUUUGGAACCAGAUUGCUUUGUUGCCUUCGUCACUUAUUAGCUGUGUGUCUUUGGGCAUGUUGCUUAACCUCUCUGAGCCACGGCUUUCUCAGUGGGCAUGGUAAUAGCCUCAACUUCAGAGGGCUGUGGUGAGGAUUAAAUGAGAUCAUUUAUAUAGGUGCUUGAAACAGGGCCUGGAAUCUUGUUAGGUGUUGCUAUUGGGAAAAUAUUUCAUCCUGGAAAUAAGGCUGAAAAAAAUAGCGGCAGUCAGAAAGGGAAAGACUGAGAAUUCAGGAAAGAAAGCUUGUCAUCAGUUCCCUGAAUUCCUUGUUAAUGCUGAUGUGCACCUGGAGUGAAAGCCCUCUUUUCAGUCAGCAUGUGACAAGAGUGGGUGGACUAGGUUGUGUGUGACCAGACCAACUUCCCCAUCUGCACAAUGGGAGAGCAGUGCACAGUGGCUGGGCUGGGAGAUGUGGAUGGCCUAAUGGGAGUGAAAGGGCUUUGCUGGCCUGAGGAGGAGGUGGGGGCUCUGGAAGCCAGAGCUGCAAACCUGAGUGGCUUUUGGCCAAGUAUGUUUCUUGUGAGGGCCAUAAGUUAUUUACCCUUUGUCCAAAUUGCUGGCCCUGGAGCUGGGUGCAGUGGUGCAUACCUGUAGUCCCAGGAGGAGGCCUCUGAGGCUGAGGCGGGAGGAUCCCUUGAGGCUAGGAGUUUGAGGCCAGCCUGGGCAACAUAGAGAGACUGUCUCAAAACAUUUUCCCCCUGACUAAUCUGUGGGCAGGCUACAUGAGAAUCACCUAGAGGGCUGUUAAACAAAAACAAAACGAAUCCCAGGUCCUGUCCCAGCCCAUUGGAAUCACAGGAGUUAGGGCUCAGAAAUCUUUAUUUAUAACAAGUUCUCCCAGGAACUCUACAGCAUGGCUGAUUUGGAAAUGGUUGUAUUACAUAAUUCAUAUUACCUGCUUUAUGAUUUUUGAGAGACUAGGAAUCUCUCUCUAUGAGGGGUUAUGGACCAGUGGUCAGGGUUGGACAAGGCUAAAGUUCAAAUUUUAUUAGCAGUAUGAUCUUGGAUAUUUUAUUUCUUGCUCUGAGCUUCUUUUCUUUUCUUUUUUUUUUUUGAAACAGGGUCUCACUCUGUCACCCAGGCUGGAGUGCAGUGCCUAGAUAUUGGCUCACUGCAACCUCCGCCUCCUGGGCUCAAGCAAUCCUCCUGCCUCAGCCCCCUAAGUAGCUGGGGGUACAGGCUCAAGCCACCAUGCCUGUCUUAUUUUUGUAUUUUUAGUAGAGACAAGGUUUCACCAUGUUGGUCAGGCUGGUCUUGAACUCCUUAGCUGAAUCAUUCCACCUGCCUUGGCCUCCCAAAGUACUGGGAUUACAGGCAUGAGCCGCUGCACCUGGCCUCAGCUUCAGUUUUUUCACCUGUAAGAUGGGAAUAGUAAGAGCACAUAUUUUUUCUAGAAAAUGAGGUCUGAUUCUUCUGGCAGAGGUCUGUGUCGGAAAGGGCUUGAUAUGUAAGGAGGCACGGUUAUUGCUAUCAUCAUCAUCAUCAUCGUUAGUAGUUAUUAUUGUUGUAUUACAUGUAAAAUAUUUCUUCCAGGAAUUUAAAUUCAGAAAAGGUAAGAGCUUAGAUGUCACAGAAGAAAAAGCCCUUUGCCACCAGUUCAGAGCAAAACAGCAUGUAAGCCAUUUGCUAAACAGGUAGAGAGAACCCUCAAAGCAAAAUUGAAUCCUUCCUCCACCUUCGCAUGACUGUAACAGUGUCAUGUGUUGUGCGCAGGUGUCAAAACCCAUUAAUUGCCUCCUCUUUGUUUGCAAUAAAAGAAUGACUACAUACACAGAAUCAAAGGCUGAAAAUAAGACAGCCAUAUAUUGAAACACAGACACUAUUCUUCAAUGCAAACACAUUUUUAACUUUUCAGCAAACUUAAAAUGGCCUUAGCAUAAUUUGAUACUAGCAAAAUCAUGGAUAGAUAUAGCAACUCUAAAGUAUUUAGGGUUUUUUAAUUAUUUUUAUUUUUCAGAAAUUUUAUUUUGUUGAUUAGGAAAUAUAACAUGGUUCCUUCAAAUUUUAGGUGGAUAAAUUAUAAAAC